This 125-nucleotide vault RNA is filed under the name Lottia gigantea (owl limpet). It matches the Rfam family "Vault RNA". Rfam says of the family: This family of RNAs are found as part of the enigmatic vault ribonucleoprotein complex. The complex consists of a major vault protein (MVP), two minor vault proteins (VPARP and TEP1), and several small untranslated RNA molecules. The record is from Rfam by way of RNAcentral. Lineage: Eukaryota; Metazoa; Mollusca; Gastropoda; Lottiidae.
GGUUAGGCUUAGUCGUGUGGUUACUUCGUUAAAAUGAUAACAUUUCACAAACCUUGAAAAUCUUGUACGAACAUCCCGGAAACUGGAUGGUUGUAUAAUAGCCACUGACGCCAUCCUGACCUCCA